RNAcentral lists this ribosomal RNA (640 nucleotides) under Sporisorium sorghi. RNAcentral's name for it is "LSU rRNA". It matches the Rfam family "Eukaryotic large subunit ribosomal RNA", at positions 43 to 662 of the family's 3401-position model. The record is from RNAcentral. Lineage: Eukaryota; Fungi; Basidiomycota; Ustilaginomycetes; Ustilaginales; Ustilaginaceae.
UCAAUAAGCGGAGGAAAAGAAACUAACAAGGAUUCCCCUAGUAACGGCGAGUGAAGAGGGAAGAGCCCAAGAUUGAAAGCUGGCGUCUUCGGCGUCCGCAUUGUAAUCUCAAGAAGUGUUUUCCGCUUCGGACCAUGCCUAAGUCCCUUGGAAAAGGGCAUCAUAGAGGGUGAUAAUCCCGUACAUGGCAUGGAGCGCCCGAAGCUUUGUGAUACGCUUUCUACGAGUCGAGUUGUUUGGGAAUGCAGCUCAAAAUGGGUGGUAAAUGCCAUCUAAGGCUAAAUAUUGGGGAGAGACCGAUAGCGAACAAGUACAGUGAUGGAAAGAUGAAAAGAACUUUGAAAAGAGAGUUAAACAGUACGUGAAAUUGCCAAAAGGGAAGGGUAGGAGGUCAGAGAUGCGUCUUGGGAUUCAGCCUUGCUUUUUCGCUUGGUGUUUUUCCCAAGUUGCAGGCCAACGUCGGUUUUGGGCACUGGAGAAGGGUGGGAGGAACGUGGCACCUCUCGGGGUGUGUUAUAGCCUCCUACUGGAUACAGCGACCGAGACCGAGGACAGCAGCGUACUCGCAAGAGCGGGCCUUCGGGCACCUUUACGCUUAGGGCGUUGGCAUAAUGGCCCUCUACCACCCGUCUUGAAACAC